Long non-coding RNA from Chinchilla lanigera (long-tailed chinchilla), 2291 nucleotides. The record is from Ensembl. NCBI's taxonomy places the organism in Eukaryota, Metazoa, Chordata, Mammalia, Rodentia, Chinchillidae.
AAAAGUGUUUAUAAUUACACCGUAGUGGAAGCUGAAGACAAGGAUCCUGGGCUGUAGGCCUGAACCUUGGCGGAUGGUUACUGCGCAUGCACGGCAAUGCGAUGUCCACCUGAAGUUUCGGAGACUUGGCCCUAGAAUUCUCCAAAGGACUAACAGCUUAAAGGUGGCGAAGUGUGGAAAUAAAGGAAGAUCAACUUCAUCAGAAAAAGCAAAGCGAUUUAUUCGGGGCUUCACAAGAGGGCCUCAGCCAGGGCACUGCGUACUGACCGUCUAAGGCAGAUGGGGGCGGGAAAGCUUUGUAGUAGAAACAGGGAGAAGGCUUCAGAUGCGCCCUGGUUAGAGACUGUGGGGUGAGGAAGCUGCAGGUGAGCUAAUUCUGGGUUCAUUUCCCACUUCUGGAAAACCGUGAGACAUCCCUUACGAUUAGUUAGGGGUGCAUAGUUGUCUUUCCCUGGUUGUUCCUAAAUGCAAGGAGUACAAAAGACUCUGUCAGUUAUUGAUCGAGCUCUGGCCAUUUUGAAAGGAUAGUUAGAAAAGUUGUUAACUUUCCUGGAAUUUUUUUUUUUUUUAACUAGUUAACAGUCUGACUUCCUACAAAUCUGAUUUACAGCAGCCUGGCUUCCUGGGUUGUUCAUUACAGGCUGCAGAUUUUGGCUCAGAGCUCUGGUCUGACCAGUGCAUUUGGUGUCUGAAAUGUACUAAUUCAGCACAUCCUAACCGAGGACCCCGGGGCAUUCAGCUUCUCUUGGCCCUGCCUUCUCAGAUCUGGGUCACAGACCACGGGUCUCUGGGGCCUCUGGGCUCGGAGAUAGGCAAAGGUCAAGACUUGUAAGCAUCACUCCACCUAUGAGUGUCCGUUGUGACCAGCAACUCAAUUCUUCACUCUAACUACUCGAGGGUUUGGAGCUUAUCUAGUGGUAUUGCAAAUGGUGGUGGUACUGGCUAGCAUUUAGAGAGCUUAUUCUACGUUAAAAUGAUAGAAAGCUGGCAACAGUAUUUCUGCGGUGCAAUCGGUGAGCGCGUUUGGCUGUUAACUGAAAGGUUGGUGGUUCCAUCCCACCCAGAGACGGCAAGGCGUUUUGUAACUUUCUCAUCGGUUAGAUCUAAGAACUGAUAGCUUAACUGCUAUGGUUUAGUGGUUACUUGUCAUCCCCGCCUCCUGCCCGCAUCACCACCACCGAAGCAUAUUAGGAAGAAAAUGUAGGGGAGGAGGAGAUUACAAGUUCUUGCAACUCGGAAGGAAAAAAUGCUGUGAAGAUAUCUUUAGCAGUAUGUAAACAGUGGUAUCUGGAGGCUGUAUCUAGCUUUAGUAAUUGCUCCAUCUAUAUUGUUGUUAGUAGAGUCAGGAUUAUCAUUACUUUCUGAAUUUUUUAACGAAGGUAUUUCUUUUUUUGUACUAUUAUCUAACCCUUUAUGUGUUAUUUUUGAAAUUAAUUUAAUUCCAUGAUUUUAUAAUUUCAAAUAAUGCUGCAGUUAUCAUUCUUGUACAAAUACCUUUUGCUACUUUUACAAGUAUUUUUGUAGGACAGAAUCCUGGAAGUGCUAUGGCCAUAUCAUCAUGGUUACAGUUUUUUUAAUUUAAGUGAUAAGCUCUGUAAAUUUACUUUCCUUCUAGCUUUUGAACUCACAGAAUCCUUUCCUUCAUACUCUUGCUUGCACAACAAACUUCUGUACAUCUGUGAUAUUUUAAUAAAGUGUUGCUCUCCUGACUUAAGUGGAAACCUUCUUUUCUCUCUCAUUCAUACACUGUCAAUUAUUUUCUCUCAUCAGUGCUAUCAGUGUGGAAUUCUGGUUUUGAUGUUACAAAAUGAACAUCUGAAGACAUCUCUGCUGAGGAGUGGUUAAGAUGGAUUCACUGUCUGGUAGAUACAUGACCACUAAGCUAAUCUAUGCAUCUUUUUUUUUUUGAUUGGCUAUUUGAUCUAAAUGUUUUGGUAUUUCCUGGUAUUUGACUCUGCAGUGUUGAAAAGUGGCAGUAGGUGUCAGUUUUUGCAAAAGUGGAAUGUCUAACAAAAUGAUCUCUAUACACAGUAAUUCUUCCUUAAGAGCUCUGACUUCAGGGCCUGGGGAUUUAGCUCAGCGGCAAAAGCGCCUGCCUGGCAAGUGUAAGGUUGUGAGUUCGGUUCCUGGUACCAAAAAAAAAACCAAAAAACAAAAAAAAAAAAAAAAAAAAAAAGAGCUCUGACUUCAAUAAAUUGUUCUUUUUUUUAAUCAAUAAAUUGUUCUAUCUAAAGGCAAUGUUAGAGCAGAGGAAAACUGAAUUCCUGGUAUCCAAUGAUCUGCUAUCUUAG